Molecule: non-coding RNA, 88 nt
Organism: Mycena rebaudengoi
Lineage: Eukaryota; Fungi; Basidiomycota; Agaricomycetes; Agaricales; Mycenaceae
Source: the annotation of a GenBank genome assembly
GGCCUGGUGGUGUAGUUGGAACAUGUUCUUUUCACUUUCCCUUUAGAUCAAUCAGAGAAAGUCCCUUGUUCGAAUCAAGGUCAGGCUA